Molecule: ribosomal RNA, 984 nt
Filed under: uncultured Bilophila sp.
Lineage: Bacteria; Pseudomonadati; Thermodesulfobacteriota; Desulfovibrionia; Desulfovibrionales; Desulfovibrionaceae
Description: bacterial SSU rRNA
Rfam family: Bacterial small subunit ribosomal RNA
Source: RNAcentral
GGGNGCUCUCCCNUAUGGUCGACCUGCAGGCGGCCGCGAAUUCACUAGUGAUUAGAGUUUGAUCCUGGCUCAGAUUGAACGCUGGCGGCGUGCUUAACACAUGCAAGUCGAACGUGAAAGUCCUUCGGGACGAGUAAAGUGGCGCACGGGUGAGUAACGCGUGGAUAAUCUACCCUUAAGAUGGGGAUAACGGCUGGAAACGGUCGCUAAUACCGAAUACGCUCCCGAUUUUAUCGUUGGGGGGAAAGAUGGCCUCUGCUUGCAAGCUAUCGCUUAAGGAUGAGUCCGCGUCCCAUUAGCUAGUUGGCGGGGUAACGGCCCACCAAGGCGACGAUGGGUAGCCGGUCUGAGAGGAUGACCGGCCACACUGGAACUGGAACACGGUCCAGACUCCUACGGGAGGCAGCAGUGGGGAAUAUUGCGCAAUGGGCGAAAGCCUGACGCAGCGACGCCGCGUGAGGGAUGAAGGUUCUCGGAUCGUAAACCUCUGUCAGGGGGGAAGAAACCCCCUCGUGUGAAUAAUGCGAGGGCUUGACGGUACCCCCAAAGGAAGCACCGGCUAACUCCGUGCCAGCAGCCGCGGUAAUACGGAGGGUGCAAGCGUUAAUCGGAAUCACUGGGCGUAAAGCGCACGUAGGCGGCUUGGUAAGUCAGGGGUGAAAUCCCACAGCCCAACUGUGGAACUGCCUUUGAUACUGCCAGGCUUGAGUACCGGAGAGGGUGGCGGAAUUCCAGGUGUAGGAGUGAAAUCCGUAGAUAUCUGGAGGAACACCGGUGGCGAAGGCGGCCACCUGGACGGUAACUGACGCUGANGUGCGAAAGCGUGGGUAGCAAACAGGGUUAGAUACCCUGGUAGUCCACGCUGUAAACGAUGGGUGCUGGGUGCUGGGAUGUAUGUCUCGGUGCCGUAGCUAACGCGAUAAGCACCCCGCCUGGGGAGUACGGUCGCANGGCUGAAACUCAAANAAAUUGANGGGGGCCCGC